UGUGUGGUGCCAGAGUGUUUAUGGGAUGUUUUGAUAAGAUAUAGACGGGUUCCUCGUUGACCCCCACGCGU
This 71-nucleotide transfer RNA is filed under the name Herdmania momus (red throated ascidian). RNAcentral's name for it is "transfer RNA-Ile (GAU)". The record is from RNAcentral. Lineage: Eukaryota; Metazoa; Chordata; Ascidiacea; Stolidobranchia; Pyuridae.